This 443-nucleotide ribosomal RNA is filed under the name uncultured bacterium. RNAcentral describes it as "SSU rRNA". It matches the Rfam family "Bacterial small subunit ribosomal RNA", at positions 26 to 518 of the family's 1533-position model. The record is from RNAcentral.
AGAGCGAACGCUGGCGGCAGGCCUAAUACAUGCAAGUCGAACGCACCUUCGGGUGAGUGGCGGACGGGUGAGUAACACGUGGGAACGUGCCUUUUGGUUCGGAAUAAUCCGGGGAAACCUGGCCUAAUACCGGAUGUGCCCUUCGGGGGAAAGAUUUAUCGCCAUUAGAGCGGCCCGCGUCUGAUUAGCUUGUUGGUGGGGUAAUGGCCCACCAAGGCUACGAUCAGUAGCUGGUCUGAGAGGAUGAUCAGCCACACUGGGACUGAGACACGGCCCAGACUCCUACGGGAGGCAGCAGUAGGGAAUCUUGCGCAAUGGGCGAAAGCCUGACGCAGCCAUGCCGCGUGAAUGAUGAAGGUCUUAGGAUUGUAAAAUUCUUUCAGCGGGGAAGAUAAUGACUGUACCCGCAGAGAAGCUCCGGCUAACUUCGUGCCAGCAGCCGC